RNAcentral lists this ribosomal RNA (253 nucleotides) under uncultured bacterium. RNAcentral's name for it is "partial 16S ribosomal RNA". It matches the Rfam family "Bacterial small subunit ribosomal RNA", at positions 524 to 776 of the family's 1533-position model. The record is from RNAcentral.
UACGUAGGGGGCAAGCGUUGUCCGGAUUUAUUGGGCGUAAAGAGCGUGUAGGCGGCCAGACAGGUCCGUUGUGAAAACUCGAGGCUCAACCUCGAGACGUCGGUUGAAACCACCUGGCUAGAGUCCGGAAGAGGAUAGUGGAAUUCCUGGUGUAGCGGUGAAAUGCGCAGAUAUCAGGAAGAACACCCGUGGCGAAGGCGGCUCUCUGGGACGGUACUGACGCUGAGACGCGAAAGCGUGGGGAGCGAACAGG